UUGCANUGCCCGAAAGCCUGAUGCAGCGACGCCGCGUGGGGGAUGAAGCUUUUCGGAGUGUAAACCCCUUUCGACCCGGACGAAUGCCUCGCAAGAGGACUGACGGUACGGGUAUAAGAAGCCCCGGCUAACUACGUGCCAGCAGCCGCGGUAAGACGUAGGGGGCCAGCGUUGCUCGGAAUUACUGGGUGUAAAGGGUUCGUAGGCGGUGUGGCAAGUCGGGAGUGAAAUCUCUGGGCUCAACCCAGAGUCUGCUUCCGAAACUGCUGUGCUUGAGUGUGGGAGAGGCGCGUGGAAUUGCAGGUGUAGCGGUGAAAUGCGUAGAUAUCUGCAGGAACACCCGUGGCGAAAGCGGCGCGCUGGACCACUACUGACGCUGAGGAACGAAAGCUAGGGGAGCAAACAGGAUUAGAUACCCUGGUAGUCCUAGCCCUAAACGAUCAGGACUUGGGGUGCCGCCCGUUCGGGCGUCGUCCCGGAGCUAACGCGUUAAGUCCUGCACCUGGGGAGUACGGUCGCAAGACUGAAACUCAAAAAAAUUGACGGA
RNAcentral lists this ribosomal RNA (547 nucleotides) under uncultured bacterium. RNAcentral describes it as "bacterial SSU rRNA". It matches the Rfam family "Bacterial small subunit ribosomal RNA", at positions 364 to 917 of the family's 1533-position model. The record is from RNAcentral.